UACGAAGGGGGCUAGCGUUGCUCGGAAUCACUGGGCGUAAAGGGUGCGUAGGCGGGUCUUUAAGUCAGGGGUGAAAUCCUGGAGCUCAACUCCAGAACCGCCUUUGAUACUGAGGAUCUUGAGUUCGGGAGAGGUGAGUGGAACUGCGAGUGUAGAGGUGAAAUUCGUAGAUAUUCGCAAGAACACCAGUGGCGAAGGCGGCUCACUGGCCCGGUACUGACGCUGAGGUGCGAAAGCGUGGGGAGCAAACAGG
Molecule: ribosomal RNA, 253 nt
Filed under: uncultured bacterium
Lineage: Bacteria
Description: partial 16S ribosomal RNA
Rfam family: Bacterial small subunit ribosomal RNA
Source: RNAcentral